Molecule: ribosomal RNA, 384 nt
Filed under: uncultured bacterium
Lineage: Bacteria
Description: bacterial SSU rRNA
Rfam family: Bacterial small subunit ribosomal RNA
Source: RNAcentral
GACGAACGCUGGCGGCGUGCUUAAUACAUGCAAGUCAACUGAACUUAAGAUAGCAAUAUUUUAAGGGAGGUGGCGCACGGGUGAGUAACACGUAGGUAAUCUGCCUUUAGGUCUGACACAACCCCGAGAAAUCGGGGCUAAUAUCAGAUGAUGCAGCGGCUCGACAUCGAGACAGUUGUUAAACCUUCGGGGCUUAAAGAUGAGCCUGCGUCUGAUUAGCUGGUUGGCGGGGUAACGGCCCACCAAGGCAACGAUCAGUAGCUGGUCUGAGAGGAUGAUCAGCCACACUGGAACUGAGACACGGUCCAGACUCCUACGGGAGGCAGCAGUAAGGAAUAUUGCUCAAUGGCCGAAAGGCUGAAGCAGCAACGCCGCGUGGAGGAU